This 27-nucleotide small RNA is filed under the name Bombyx mori (domestic silkworm). RNAcentral describes it as "ovarian small RNA-28432". Lineage: Eukaryota; Metazoa; Arthropoda; Insecta; Lepidoptera; Bombycidae. The record is from RNAcentral.
UCGAUAGGAAAUAUUCCCUGAGACUGC